RNAcentral lists this ribosomal RNA (427 nucleotides) under uncultured bacterium. RNAcentral describes it as "partial 16S ribosomal RNA". It matches the Rfam family "Bacterial small subunit ribosomal RNA", at positions 355 to 774 of the family's 1533-position model. The record is from RNAcentral.
UGGGGAAUAUUGCACAAUGGGCGCAAGCCUGAUGCAGCCAUACCGCGUGUAUGAAGAAGGCCUUCGGGUUGUAAAGUACUUUCAGCGAGGAGGAAGGCGUUGUGGUUAAUAACCGCAACGAUUGACGUUACUCGCAGAAGAAGCACCGGCUAACUCCGUGCCAGCAGCCGCGGUAAUACGGAGGGUGCAAGCGUUAAUCGGAAUUACUGGGCGUAAAGCGCACGCAGGCGGUCUGUCAAGUCGGAUGUGAAAUCCCCGGGCUCAACCUGGGAACUGCAUCCGAAACUGGCAGGCUAGAGUCGUGUAGAGGGGGGUAGAAUUCCAGGUGUAGCGGUGAAAUGCGUAGAGAUCUGGAGGAAUACCGGUGGCGAAGGCGGCCCCCUGGACAAAGACUGACGCUCAGGUGCGAAAGCGUGGGGAGCAAACA